UGUCGAUGAAGAGCGCAGCCAACUGUGUGAAUUAAUGUGAACUGCAUACUGCUUUGAACAUCGACAUCUUGAACGCACAUUGCGGCCACGGGUUAGCCUGUGGCCACGCCUGUCCGAGGGUCG
This 123-nucleotide ribosomal RNA is filed under the name Helicometroides longicollis. RNAcentral describes it as "partial 5.8S ribosomal RNA". It matches the Rfam family "5.8S ribosomal RNA", at positions 33 to 154 of the family's 154-position model. From Rfam's summary of the family: 5.8S ribosomal RNA (5.8S rRNA) is a component of the large subunit of the eukaryotic ribosome. It is transcribed by RNA polymerase I as part of the 45S precursor that also contains 18S and 28S rRNA. The record is from RNAcentral. Lineage: Eukaryota; Metazoa; Platyhelminthes; Trematoda; Plagiorchiida; Monorchiidae.